Aethalodelphis obliquidens (Pacific white-sided dolphin) is the source of this 1221-nucleotide long non-coding RNA. RefSeq lists it as uncharacterized. The transcript is spliced from 5 exons. Lineage: Eukaryota; Metazoa; Chordata; Mammalia; Artiodactyla; Delphinidae. The record is from RefSeq and is a predicted model, not a curated record.
GUGGGUAGAGAAGGCCGCCGUUGGAACGCGGCCUUCGGCAGUCUUAGCUAAAACGCUGUCAAAGUCAAAGACAGCGCCCUCUGCGGCGGAGGGGAGGACUCCACCCUCAAGUCCACCGCCUUGUUUUUUUCGUUCAGCCUCGUCGCACCGUUUUCUAAACCACUCCUGUCCUUAGAUCAGACUGAGGAGCCUACGGCACUUAAGCCUUUCAAUCCCCAACCCAUUCUAAGCACAUGUCUUGAGCUGGAUGCAAGAGACACUGAGGUGGAUGACAUGCUCCUAGGUACGUUCAGACCAGCCGUGGCACAGGAAUCCAUCCCCAUGGCCAAAGGCAGCAGCGACAGCUACAGCAGGCUGAAACAACAGAGGGGAUGACUUGAGCUCACUGGAAGCAUCAGUUUCUCUUCCAGACAAGACAAAGACAAGCCUGAAAAAGGAUCUUGAGUUCUCCAUUGAAUGAUCUUUACUCUCCUGCUGGUCUCCUCACUGAGGCAGGAGGGGUGUGGUUUCAAGACUCGAGCUCAAACCGGGAUAAAGUCAUUUUUGCCUCAGGACCCACGUCGCAGAAAAGGUGGUCACAAAGCACCAAGCUGAUCUCCCCACACAGGAUCUUUUAAUUGUGACAUGUGAGCUCUUAGUUGUGGCAUGCAUGCAGGAUCUAGUUCCCCAACCAGGGGUCGAACCCGGACCUGGGAGCACGGAGUCUUACCCACUGGACCACCAGGGAAGUGCCUAUAUGACAUUUCUAAAUGUUUGGCCACCUGUAGGCCUUUGUAAAACACGUUACCUCUCCCACUGUUGUCUACUUGUGAAAAAUUUUACAUGGAAAUAUCUUAUGAAGAGGUCCUGUUAUAGGAUAUAAUGUACAGCUUUUGUUUUUUCUGCUCAGCAUUCAUUCCUUAAAGUAUUCCUCUGAUCUUCUUCAUUCUGGUGGCUUGCUAACUGUGGGAUCCCACCCCCUACCAGAGGGAUGGGCACAUCUCACUAAGAAGCCAAGCAAACUCCUACAAUGGAACUUCACUGUUGAAAUGAGGCACACAGGUACCACAGGGGGUUGGACCUGAUCAUCUGCUGGCAAUUGCCUAAAAAGGUAGCACACAAGCUCCUAUGACUAAGAUCUGGACUUUUCUGGUUCAAGGCCUUCUCAAGGCUGUACUUCCUCUUUCUAAAUUAUGAGCCAGCCAAUAAACUACUAAUAAAGUCUUUGUUUAUUUAGCCAAA